Molecule: ribosomal RNA, 635 nt
Filed under: Nebria dabanensis
Lineage: Eukaryota; Metazoa; Arthropoda; Insecta; Coleoptera; Carabidae
Description: partial large subunit ribosomal RNA
Rfam family: Bacterial large subunit ribosomal RNA (bases 390-549)
Source: RNAcentral
GUCCUUUAGAAUUUAAUUUAAGGUCUAGCCUGCCCACUGAAAUUAAUUUUAAAUGGCCGCAGUAAUUUGACUGUGCAAAGGUAGCAUAAUCAUUAGUUUUUUAAUUGAAAGCUUGUAUGAAAGGUUGGACGAGGUAAAAUCUGUCUCUAAUUAAUUUAAUUUAGAAUUUAACUUUUAAGUCAAAAGGCUUAAAUAUAAUUAAAAGACGAGAAGACCCUAUAGAUCUUUAUAGUUUAUUUAUUAAAUUUAAUUAAGAAUUUUUUAAAUUUUAUUAAUUUAAUUAUUUUAUUGGGGUAAUAUAAAGAUUAAAUUAAUUCUUUUUUUUUAUUAACAUUAAUUUAUGAUUUUAUGAUCCAAUUUUAUUGGUUAUAAGAUUAAGUUACCUUAGGGAUAACAGCGUUAUUUUUUUAGAGAGUUCUUAUCGAUAAAAAAGUUUACGACCUCGAUGUUGGAUUAAAGAUUAUUUCAGGUGUAGAAGUUUGAAAAUUUUGGUCUGUUCGACCAUUAAAUCUUUACAUGAUCUGAGUUCAGACCGGUGUAAGCCAGGUCGGUUUCUAUCUUUAGUAGAUUAAAAUAUUUUAGUACGAAAGGACCAAUUAUUUAAUAUAAAAUAUUUAAAUUUUGAUUAUUAUUAA